CAGCCGCCGCGGUAAUACGUAGGGUGCAAGCGUUAAUCGGAAUUACUGGGCGUAAAGCGUGCGCGGGCGGUUUGUUAAGACAGAUGUGAAAUCCCCGGGCUCAACCUGGGAACUGCAUUUGUGACUGGCAAGCUAGAGUGUGGCAGAGGGGGGUGGAAUUCCGCGUGUAGCAGUGAAAUGCGUAGAUAUGCGGAGGAACAUCAGUGGCGAAGGCGGCCAUCUGGGACAACACUGACGCUGAGGCACGAAAGCGUGGGGAGCAAACAGGAUUAGAUACCCCGGUAGUCCCUGUCUCUUAUAA
RNAcentral lists this ribosomal RNA (301 nucleotides) under uncultured bacterium. Its description in RNAcentral is "partial 16S ribosomal RNA". It matches the Rfam family "Bacterial small subunit ribosomal RNA", at positions 509 to 809 of the family's 1533-position model. The record is from RNAcentral.